CAACGGAUAUCUUGGCUCCCGUAACGAUGAAGAACGCAGCGAAAUGCGAUACGUAGUGUGAAUUGCAGAAUUCCGUGAACCAUCGAAUCUUUGAACGCAAAUUGCGCUCGAGGCUUCGGCCAAGAGCAUGUCUGC
RNAcentral lists this ribosomal RNA (135 nucleotides) under uncultured Trebouxia photobiont. RNAcentral's name for it is "partial 5.8S ribosomal RNA". It matches the Rfam family "5.8S ribosomal RNA", at positions 10 to 144 of the family's 154-position model. Rfam says of the family: 5.8S ribosomal RNA (5.8S rRNA) is a component of the large subunit of the eukaryotic ribosome. It is transcribed by RNA polymerase I as part of the 45S precursor that also contains 18S and 28S rRNA. Functionally, it is thought that 5.8S rRNA may be involved in ribosome translocation. Lineage: Eukaryota; Viridiplantae; Chlorophyta; Trebouxiophyceae; Trebouxiales; Trebouxiaceae. The record is from RNAcentral.